This 656-nucleotide unclassified non-coding RNA is filed under the name Hevea brasiliensis (rubber tree). Lineage: Eukaryota; Viridiplantae; Streptophyta; Magnoliopsida; Malpighiales; Euphorbiaceae. The record is from RNAcentral.
CUGGUCUAUACCCUCCAUACCCGAUAUUGAUGGAGCGACGACAAGGACUGCAAAGAUUUAGUGGACUCCAACUUGGGAUGCUCAUCUCUUCCCCGCAAUCCAUUUCUGCUAGAACUUUAUAGAACAAAUCAACAUCGCAGGGAAGCAAUAUUGGACCUUCGCUAUUGAACCCGUAUUCAAGUUCAGCAUCGUCUAGCAACAACUUGAACAAUGGAUGGUUAGCGAACUCUGUCUUUAUCACGAACCUUUGUUUCUCGGGUCCUACGUAGACUGAGAAGCAGCCGUAAGGAGCUACGUGGCACUUCUUUUUUCGCUUUUCAUUAUCUCCUUCGCUUGAUCUCUUGGUGCGGUGCCAUGAUUUGCUUUUUGUCAAAGAGUUGCGAAUAUUUCUUGCAGAUUUCUUGUUGCCAGAACCCAGAGAUCGACACCUUUCCCAUGCCCUGAGAAACAGGUUUCUCUUCCAGUUACCUUUUCCAAUAUCCAUUCUUCAGAGAGCAAGAUGAGAAACAGAAAGAGACCUAUCCAAAAUUGAAGUAGAGAUCAAGAUAAGAAGAAACCGAUCAUAAUAAAAUGUAGCUUUUGUCUGUAUUAUAAAUUUUCAACUCUGAAAAACGCAGAGAAGAGAACCCCACAAGAUAUGCUCAAUGAGAAAGGAG